GUGCCAGGAUCCUCUCGCCAUCUCUGAGGGGCUGUUCCCCUCACGGUGCUGGGACCCUCCUGCGAAGGCCAUUCCCGCAGGGUUGCUGGGGAGGAAGAGCAGCCCUGGGGAGAGAUGAGAUGUGAGGCCCGAGCACUGAAUGCUCAGGGAAAAUGACCAUGCAUUUGUGUAAUCUGAUGCAAAUGGAUGUAUAUUUAUGCAAAUGUGUGUUAAGUAGAUUCUACUGAUAGUCUGCCUUCAAAUAUUGCUUUUGAUCUUUAAGACCCUGAGAACAUGUUUAAAGGAGCCAGGAUCCAGCUAUUCCAUUGGAACAGUUCUCUACUGUGUAAUGGAAAUGGAGAAACCCAGGCAAUGGUGUGGAUUGCCCCAGGAGAAAGAGGGCUGAUUUUUCCUGCCAUCAUUAGGUUUUCAUUUUGCUCUGGAUCAAAAACUCCGCAAAUAUCCAUGACACUGUUUCCUUAUUUCUUGGGCUUUUGAAAGCAAUGUGGCUUUCCAUGACUUGUGAAUACCAGCUGGAAGAUGAUUCCACUGAUUUGCUUCUCUCCCUUUUGGGACAGCAUUGAUUUUGAAAAUUUUUUGCCAUGUAAG
This 588-nucleotide long non-coding RNA is filed under the name Parus major (Great Tit). RNAcentral's name for it is "lncRNA (ENSPMJG00000005288.1)". Lineage: Eukaryota; Metazoa; Chordata; Aves; Passeriformes; Paridae. The record is from RNAcentral.